AAAAAAAAAAAAAAAAAAAAAAGCAGCUCUUUGCUAAUUCACAAAAACUUGGAGGGGGGUGAGGGGAAUGUGGGGUGUGGAGAAACUAGGGAGAAUAAUUGGGCAAUUCCCGACAUCCUCGAUGGCAGCUCUUAAGCAAUUACGGGGACUCAGCAACACCCUUAUCACAGCACGUUCUGGGAGAUUAACCGGCUGCUCAGCUGGCAAUUAGAGCCGGUGCCUCCCUGCUUUUUCUGUCAACCUGGAAAGCAAGGUCUGCUCCUGGUCCCGUGUUUCGUUCUGCUCUAACUUUCCCUCCGUCUUUGGAAAACUUUGCUUGCUGAUGGCAUCUGUGAAAGCCCCAGUGCUGUGUGUUUGCGUGCCGGCUUCAUUUGCACAGAAAAAACGCUCAGCUGAGACACAGGUUUGACUUUCUGUCUGGGCCACGGACCUCCUGUGAGAUUCUGCUCAGGUCCCAGUGACAUCUACAAGGCAAGCUGUGAUCUCCUUGGCCUGUGAAUCAUCGCUGAUAAUGGAGAUCCUGCAGGCUGACCCCUGCUUUUGUCAGCUGUACAGCACCAGAGUUUGUGGAUGCACCCAGAGAGAGCUCACUGGCACUGUGGCAAGAGAAAUGAUCUCUUCCUUCUGCAGCACAGCCCGGGUGGAAUCACCUGGCAGGGAUGCUCUUAUGGACAGAACAAGGCGGUACAGUUCACCUUUGCUGUCCCUGAAAGGUACUCCUACCUUUUCCAGCCUUUUCCUUCCUCUUCCUUCAGGUUCAUGCCUUCUCCUAGCACAACAGCCAGGCGAAGUCUGAGCUUCCUCCCUCGGAACUGGUCACUGUCUGACCCCUGUGUGAUGGUCUUGACCAAUAAGGGGAAAAUUUUGGUUGAUUUUUUGAUCUCAACAUCUACUUCUGCUUCUCCCUCUGGAGUAUCAGCAUUGUGACCUCCAUCUCCUGCUCGAUUCAGAACCCAGGUGAGCCUUGGCUUAAUCUGAGCAUCAGUGUCCUCUCUACUGUGGUAAUAAGAGCAUCGCCCUUUAUCAAAGAGAAGAUGGUAUCAAAAACUGUGGGGUUUAGUAGUGGACAUGGGUAAUGAACAUUGGAGGGUGAGAGCAUUUGUUGGGAAGAGCACUCAGGUGAUCCUGGAGCCGGUGAGGUGUCUUGGGUCCUCUGCCUGCCUCAGUUACAUCCGUCUGGAGCAGCUGAGGGUGUGUUAUUUCCUCGCUCUGCAUCUCCCUUCCAGCCAGGAUAACAACACCUUGUGGGGGUGAGAGUGGAUGUUCAUUGGCAUUUGUCAUCGACUCGACUGCAAGCACCCUGGGGAGCCCUAUAAAUAAGUGAGGGGAUGUGAUUCAGCAGCCAUUGGAGGAGAAGCAGCUGCCACUAUGUCCAUUUCAUGAUCACUUCAAAAGCCUGAACUCUUUACUUGGUUUGUGUUCCUGCAUUAAAUUUGCAAGAGGCCCCUCCACAAGUGGAGCAGGGGAAGGCAGCCUGCUGUGCCUCUGGGAAGGAUGGUGUGGAAGGAACCACUUUGGAAACGAUGCAGCCCCUGAGACUGAUUGCAGGAUCCACCACUGCACCCUCGUUCCUUAUUGAUGUGCACCUGCAACACCUUGUGUUUCUUCUGUUUGCUGUGGUGGGUUUUCCUGAUGUCUGUUAUUGCUGGGCAGAGAGAGGCAGUAAAAGAAAAUGUUUAGGUCAGGCUUGUGGAGAAGCAGCCAGGUGUCUGGAUGUGUUAUCAAGGUAGCAGAUGCUUUUGCAUCCACAAACUUGGUGAUGAGACUAAUGUGAGACUGAGAGAUCUGAGCAAAAAGCACAACUGUGUACACCUCGAGGCUCUGAGCAGCAAAACUGCAGCUUGGAUUUAGGUUUAGAUUGCCAAGUUCAGCUUUGCUCAUUUAAUUCACCCAGUGCUUUGGGACAUUAUUGACAGUCAUGCUUUUGUAAGGCUGUGUGGGCUUGCAUCUGCUGAGACCUGCUGAAGUGAAGGUCCUUUUCUGUGUGCACAUUGAGGGAAAAAGUGUCUGUGUGUGUAGGAACUUCUGUCUGUUCUUUGUAACAUUUGUGUGGUCUGUCCUCUGCUAAAAUAACCUUAGUGAAGGCCUUGGCUUUGUCUCUGUUUGGGAGGAGGGAUGUCUGUCUGUCCCUUGUGAAGGGUGUAAAUGCCCCCACAGUUGGAUGGAGUAAAGGGUGCUGAGCAGUUCACCCCCAUUGAUGAAAGUGGGAAGAUGUUUUGUGGGAAGGGGAAUCAGCCCUUCUGCUUUCGAGUCAACAAAUCACAAAAAAAAAAAACAGGUAAAAAGAGGAGGAGAAAAAGACAGAAUGAUGUAUUUUUGUGCACUCUCCCUUUCCUUCUUCAUUCCUUUGAGCCAUUUUUAACCCAAGCUAAUUCAGCUGGAAAUAUUAAUAACCCUAUAAGGACGCUACCUCCUUGUAAUGAAGUGUAAAGGUCACUUCUGCUCAAAUCACACAACUCUUUCAUUUUGUUCUCUGCUAGGAACAGCUCCUCUCUUUAAUUAUUCAGUUUGCUUUUAUAUUGCAGUUGCUGGUCUCUUGUCUCUGAUCUCUGACACUUCCCCCAUUACACAAGACCCCAGGAGGCUGGGCAGUGUGGCCUGAUGGGUCACAGAGGGGACCUGGAUGUUGUGAGCAGCAGUCAGGAUUUGCCUAGGGGAUGAAGGAGAGGCUGGAUGUGGAGAAGAAGAGUUGAUUCUUGGGUUUCAGAGUUAUUUCUUUGAUGGUGUGAGUCUGCUGGUGUUUCUGCAGGGUGUGGGCAUUGGAAAAUAUGUUAAUUUUUUUGUUAAAUCCCUAUGCAUGAGGUGCCACUUGAUGUGAUGGAAAGAAGUGGGGCUGGAGGGGACCUUUCCUCUGGGAUGGGUGGAUGGAGGUGGGAGGCUGUGGCAUGGGAAGUGAACUCUGUUGAGACACCCUCAGAUGAAGCAAAACCUCUCACAUCAGAUCAAGGUCCUCAGUCCUCAGGUGUCUCUUGGCCCAUGGUGUCCAGAGCCAGGGAGAACAGAGGGAGAAAACCCAGCUGCAUGCUGUGAAUGUGAGCACUCCUGGAACAGGCUGUGGGACUCACCAGCACAAAAAAGGGGGAUGAAUUUAGGGAAAGCCAUUCUCUAGGGAUCAGUCUGGAGUCACAUGCAAGUUCUUCCUGGAGAGAUGCCCAAGAGAGGGCUGGGGAACAGGGCUAGCAGGAGCACCCAUAGAUCCCCAUUGCCCCCAGAGAGGCUUUGGUUUAGCAGGUCCCUUCCCACUCCAUGCUGGCACCCAGAGUGUCUUCCCGGGAAAACUGCAGCAUCCAAACCACCUGCUCCCUGCUACUGUCCCAUGUGAGAGCAGCCCCCCUUGCCCUCCACCCCGGGCCCUUGUUCAUGUGUCUGGAGGGUGGGGGGCCCUGGCUGGGGUGAUCAUUUCUCCCUGCUAGGACCACCAGCCUUUGCUUUCCCAAGGGUGCAGUGGGGACUCCCAGAGCACGGGCAGGGAGUCAAGGGACUGCACAGGAGUCUGUGAGGUCCUGUUGGAUCUCCAGGGGAGGGAAGGGGAUAUUUUCUGUUGGAGCAAACACAGAGAAGACUGUGAAGAUGAUGAGAGGGCUGGAGCACCUGUCCUGAGGCUGAGAGAGUUGGGAUUGUUCAGCCUGGAGAAGAAAAUGCUGCAGGGAGAUCUUAGAGCCCCUUUCAGUACCUAAAGAGCUGGAGAGGGACUUUGGACAAGGACAUUUACAAAUGGGACAAGGGGUAAAGGCUUUGAACUGACAGAAAGCAGGUUUAGAUCAGACCUUAGGAAGAAAUUCUCCCCUGGAAUGGGGGAGGCCCUGGAACAGGUUGCCCAGAGAAGCUGUGGCUGCUCCAUCCCUGGAAGUGUCCAAGGCCAGGCUGGAUGGGAUUUGAGCAACCUGGGAUAGUGGAAGGUGUUCCUGCCCAUGGCAGUGGGGUUGGACUAGAUGAUCUUUAAGGUCCCUUCCAACCCAAAUCAUUCUGUGAUUAUAUGAUUUCAGUGGCUGAGAUGAUUAUAGCACUAAUUAUUACUGUAGCAUCCUAAACAAUUAAUAACCAUAAUUAAUUGUAUGGACCCAAGAGAGCAGAAACAACUUUUGUGGUGGCUGUAACCCCUCCCUCCCUCGAGCACUGCUCACUCCAGAACCUCUCUGCAGUGUUUUAUCUCCCUGAAUGUUUAAAUGACUUGAGCAAUUUGGGGUUUCCUCUGUUUCCCCAUGGGACUCCUCAUUCUCUGUUCUAAUUAUAACACCACAGCAGCUGUUAAUGCCCACAAACAAACACGGGUCCUCUGUAGCUGGAAUGAGUUAAGGUUUAUAUAAUCAUGUGAAGAUUUGAGAGCUGGAAAGCCUUUCACUGUGCACUGCAUUAAUCAUUUAAAAGGAGCCUGACUGAUGAUUUUUGCAUGUGUGUGUGGUUGUUUUCUUUUUCCCCCACUCCCUGUGGAGUCCAGCUGUUGCUGGCUAUACUUGGUGCACUCAGCACCAGCCAAGCCAUUGCCAAAGCCAAAAUCAUUUCCCAAAAGUCAUGUUCAUAUUCAUCUGGUGGUGCACUCAGGCAUGCCAUGGGCUGUGCUGGUGGCAAAGAAGCAUAACCAGGACCUCUGAUGAGGAUGUGUGGAAGUUUUACUUGUUAAAGGUAAGACAUUUUUUGUGGCAAACCCAGGUUGCUCUGGAGUGUCUCCUGCAGCUCCUGGGAGGUGUUGUUGGGGUAUAAGAAGUCUUACACUGAAAGGACAGAACUGACAGGGUAAUUUCCAAAUUAUAGGUGAGGCAGCUGAGGCACAGGGACACAAAGCAACACUGGCACAGACAUGGGGAAGUCUAAUCACAAGCAUAGCACUGACCAACUCUUUGGCCAAGAAUGGAGAUGUCCUGUUCUAAGCUGUGCUAGUGCCAGAGGUUUGCCCUCUCAUUACCCCUUUUGGGUGUGCUGUGGGAGCAGUGGCAUCAUGGUUAAGUCAAGCUCCCAACUUGAAUUUUGAAUCUAUUUUUUUCUGGGCUUCAACAGCAGCCAUCCUUCAUACAACCAGCAGCAGAAGAAAGCUGUUGUCCAUAGCAUGAGUUGUGUACCAGCAUCAUCCCUCACUCCUUUCCCUUCUCUGGCUGCUCCAGCAGACCAUUAACAGCACUGCAAUAUGCAGGAGCACAGACCAGACUGGGGCACAGUUUGCUCUGUGUGCAGCUACAAAUGUAGCUCUGUUCCAGCUGACAGGCUUAUACGACCUCAUAUCUAUAAAACCUGAUCUUAAACAUGCACCAGUCAUUCGUUUUAAAACCCCGCAUGGACAUAAAACCCAGAGUUCAAAAGCUGCAACUUUUCAGUGACAGGGGAGGGGAAAAAAUAGCUGUGAGUUUUUAGGUUAAAAUCCAGAAACGCUGGACUGUGGUUUUGCAGAUGCGAUUUCCAUGCUGCCACCAUCAGCGGCAGGUGGAGUUCGACACCUCUGCUGCCACCAUCCUCCUUCCAAGCCUCUAAGCAUGGCUCAGGGUAAUGAGAUUUAAGGAUAUGAAAUGUCCUGGAAGAGCUAAGGAAAGAUAAUCAGGGCUAGUGUGCUGACAAGGGGGGAAGAGGCUGAAAGGGGGGAGGCUGUGGACUGGGUGGCUGCAAUUCCACUUCCCUGAGCCAACAUUAAGGCAAAUCCGGUCUUCUGGCUGCAGAUGUGGAGUGUUUCAAUAAUGAAAAUAUUUGAAUUAGAAAGAGAAGCUGAGAAGACAAGGGGACUUGCUCAGGCCUAUAGAUAGCAAUGCUCUGGGUAAUUCAUGUCCUAGACCUGUUUGUUUGAAAGCAUCUCUGAAAGAUAUUGGCAGGUAUUCCAAAGGUAGCUGCGUGUGCAGGUGCCUUCUGUCCCCAGCCAAAGGCAUUGCAAUUAAGGAAACAAAUGUCAGCUUUUCUCCUGGCCUUUCUUAAUCCCCCAGCUGUCUGGUGCAGUGCUGUCCUGCUCUUUGGUGGAUGUCUGUGCUGCAGGGGGACAGCCCUCACCUGGGGGGAAGCACUAAGCUCUGGCAUGCAGGGGCUGGCUUAGCUGUCUGUAACCCGGGGGAACAGAUGGCACUGCCUGACAAAGGCAGACUGUCCCCCCACCCCCCUUCCCUGCUCCUUUCUUCUGCAAAUUGAGGGCCUUAAAAAGGAUUGAUGGGGCCAACAACAACCUCAUCUGGGCAGACUUUUGGGGGGAUUAAUGCCUGGUUGCUGGGGAAAGGUUUAAUGGUCCAAAGAGAUCAACAGCCUCAAGCCAGUUUAUUAAUCAGCUGGGGCUAAGGCCAUUAUCGCUUAAAGGCUCAGCCUGGGGGGGCACAGGAGGCAAGGGGUGACAGUGAUCCAUCUCUGCAGAGAACCAAACCAGAGCAAGUGAGGAGAUCCCUGGAAUCCAGCACACAAACUCACUGAUCUCUCAGGGACUAAGAUUUAGGAAGGAAAUGCAAAGGGAAAAGGGAGCGAUGGGCUUGUUUCAUCUGCAUCUGAUACAUCACAACCCCUCUCACUCCCUCCCGGCUGCAGCAGCUCCCAAACAAGCCCAGGGGCUUCCAGCCAGCUUUGUGCCUAGCAGUGGCUACUAGACAUCACCAAACCCUGUGCUGUGGCCUGGACAGUUGGGGACUACUCUUGGGAGAGGAGAUUUAUUUCUAACACCUUGUUCAGAGAUCAGGUUUCUGCCCUGGAGCAUGAAAACGGAGGUUCUUAUUAUUUUUAUCACAGCAAGUCAAAGCACAGAAGCUAUUCUUAUUCAUAUAAGUGUCUAAUCCUCCUCUGAUUCCUUCUGAGCUGUUGCAUUUGCUUUCAUUACUUUUCCCAGUUUUGGCUAAAAUAAAUUUUGCAGUAUAAUAAUCUGCCCUUACAACGAGCAGUCCCUGAGAGGAGGAGAGGAGGCACAGAGCAGGUCCUGCUAUGGACCCUCUCCCACCUCAGGGCCCAGGAAAAGCUUGGCUGUGUCCUGGCUGCCCUGGAGAAGUUGGAGGCUGUUUGUAUGGACGAAGGGGUUGAUGCUGUUUUUGGACUACCUAACACGGGGUCUCAGUGACUCAGUUUAGUCAUUAACUCUCCAAUCCAGACCCUUCAGGGGCCAUCUAUAGCAGGAUGUCUGAAUGCAGCAGAGGUACAAGGUCAUCUCCUGGGGCCCUGUGUGGGUGAGCAGUAGGAUUGCAGGGAAGGAGACCUGCUCCCAGCUACAGGAGGUCUCUGGAGAAAGUUUCAACUGCAUCCAUUGCAGAUGAAAAUUGUUGGGUAGGAGCCACUGACUUAUUCUGGCCAGGCUUGGGUCUGGGAAAUAUUACAGCGAGCUGGUAGGGGUGGCUUGGGGUCAGGAGGCUUUUUAAUUGCUUGAAAGCAAGGUCCCUGUGCUUUAUCCUCAUAGUCUGUUUUAAGUUGCCAACAAAGAGUCUGAUCUUCUGAGGAGAGUUCUGGCUUUGCUCUAGAAUCUGAUCACAGAGAGAAAUUGUUUCUGUUCCAACACAGUUCUAGGUGGCCGAAAACCUAUUUUAUUUUUGGAUUUUUUUUUCCCCCCAUCCAAAGUCACGAACUUUGAUGUGAGAGCAGGUGACUUACCUGCAUUCACCUGCCUCUCUGAGCAAAACUUCUAAACUCAUACUCUGCUUUUCUUCUUUCUUCCUGUAAGUGCAUGCCUCAGCCAAAUGCAUUUCUGCUCCCUUGGGACCCUAGUUCCUGGACAGCCUGGACCUCUGGCUGUCCGAAAUGGUAAAAGCCAGCAGGCCCCAUACACUCCAACAAACAAACCUCUCUGCUCCUCACUUGGUGUUUUCAAGAGUCCCAGAGACAAUCUCUCCCCUGGAGAGGAGCUGGGACAGUCAGCAGGUGAAAGCUGUUGCUGCAGGAGGCAGUUGGUGUCAAAAAGAGUGUGUUUGUGUUUGUGUGUGUGUGGCUUAGGGAACAAACAGGGUGAGCAACCUCCUGUGUCUUUGGAUGGUUUCUGCACAUCACUUAACAUAGAUUUCCUGUUUGCAAGGGCAGUAGCCUUGAUUUAAUAAAUCAGAGAGCAGAAAGAAGGCAGCAGACAGCAGGGACAGGCUGAGUUCACGGAGUUCUCUUUCUGGAGUUCCAUGCCUGGACCUCACUGCUUCUUAUCCAUCUUUUCACGGGUGGGAUGGCCUGUGUAGACUCAAUAUUAUGUACUUUUGGAUCCCAAUGGUUCCAAACUAUAUGUUUCUAUUGCUUUAGCAAAUGCAGGAUGGGGAUCAAUGUGUAGCAUGCUGUGAGCUGUGAUUCUGUAAGAUCAGUUAAAACUUGGUUAUGCAUCUUUGUAGCACGUAGGAGAACUUUAUGCCACUGGUUCAGCUGCAGAGGUGACAGUUCUUGGUGGUCUUGCUUUUUAUGGCUAUAGAGAUUCAUGCUACUGAGUCCAAUAAUGAUGUUGGCAAGUCCACACAUGGACCUACCACUGGAAUUAAUCAACAUAAAAUGUGCUGAAGGCCAAGGACUGUAAUAACUGGGGGAGCUGUAGGAGCCAACAAGUAAUUCCUUUACAUGAGCCUGAAGUUUUUGUGCAGCAAAUGGAAGUGAAAGAGUUUCCUCAGAUUAGGUAUGCUGGUCCUACUUGGAUCUCCCCUUAAACUAAAUUCAGAGGUUUCCUGGGAGAUGAAGAACACAGUGAGAAAACCACAUUAAAAAUAUGCUGAACUAUGUUUCAACUUGCCAAGUUUCCCCCUAAUAUAUACAUAUAUACUGGUACUGAAUUUAAAUUCAGGUCCUAAACACUGUAGAAAUGUUGGCUACCUAUAGUCCACAUGGAAUGCUGACCCUAUAACCCCUAAACCCAGCAACAUUUAUUAAUGGCUUAACUGGAGUCUCUGUAGCAAACAUUUCAGUCUCUUCAGCCAGGGAGAAGUGGGUUACUUUGUGAAUAUCAAUGCAGAUCAAAUAAAACUUAUCUCAAGGACAAAUGUAUUUGUUCUGAAAAUUUGGCCAAAGAAAUCAGAAAUGGUUCUUUAAAAUGUAUCAGCCUACAGCAAGUUUUAAUCUUUUUUUUUUUUUUUCUUUUGAGCAGCAAAAGUUGGUGAUCAAGCCAUAAUUUGAAAUAUAUGGUAGGAUACAGCAAAAUCAGUGCCAUUGAAAAUGCCUUGUAGCUGGGACAGGUGGAUCUGAAGGUUUGACAAAAACAUGCUCUCUGUUCUACAGACAUGAGACAAUUUUUCUUUCAUUUGAUUCAUUUUCUUUCAUUAUGUAGCCACCCUGGAUUAUUUUUCAACAACCAACUGCUCUUGUGUUCUCUUUGACGAAUCCCCUUGUUUGGUUUAUUUUGUUUGGUUGUUGGUUUGGUGUUCUUUUUUUUGGGAGGGCGGGGCAGGAGGAUCUUAUUGGGAAUGAUGGUGGGUCUUUUGGGAAAGGACAGCUGUUUCAUUUCAUGCAUUUGGCAUAUCUGGGCCAUCAAUCUCAGAAGAGCAUGUACCAGGUGCUCAAAGUAGAGAGAUACAAAGAUGCCAUUGCUGUUUUCUUCUGGCCAUGUUUAAAAAUCCUCUUUUCUCCCCUGGAAUGAAGUGAUUUGUGCCUGCAGCAGGAAUAGGUACCUUCUGGUUCCAGGCCUCCUGGAACAGUCCCGGGGCUAUCAGCAAUGCUGCAAAGGGAGAGGGGAAGGAGGGAAGAGGAUGACUCACAAGAAGUUUCCCUGUCUGUUAUGAUUUUGCUUUGUAGCUUUGUGUUCUCUGGAUGAUUUAGGGAGAGACGCUUUUCCCUAAUCUCUAAUUUGCUGCCAGAUGAAUAUAUUGAGUAGCAGAAUAUUGAGAAAUCUUGGGAAACUAAUGAGAAAUGCCUGAAUGAGCUCAGUGUGUUUCUCCACUCAGCUGUUAGGCUUUAAUACCCCGGUGGUGUUGGGCAGAGAUGGUUCCACAGGAGUUGUGUGGUUCCUUUUGCUUUUUGUGCCAAAAUAAAGGUUUUAAAUUAAAGAAUGGUAGAUUCAGGUAGAAGCCCUAUCCCUGGAAACCUCCAAGGUCAGUUUGGACUGGCCUUUGAGCAACCUGAUUUAGUUGAAGAUGUCCCUGUUCAUUGCAGGAGGACUGGAGUAGAUGGGCUUUAAAGGUCCCCUCCAACCCAAACUAUUCUUCAAUUCUAUGAUUCCACCUGCUUGGCCAAAGCACCAACAUAUGCACUUACAGAGAUUCAGUCACCUAGCAUUGUACAUGUUAUUUUGAGGUGUGAUAUUUCUAGCUUACUGAAUUCUUACUGCAGCUUUUUCUUCUCACACGUUGUCUUGACUUAUUUCCCUGAGCUCUGGGUCUCUGUUGGAUGCUGUGAGGGGCUGACUGGAGCUCUGUGAUAGAAGGGUUGGUUGGUGAAGGACAUUUCCUGGAGAGGAGUAAUAGAAUAUUCUCAUGGCAAGGACCACAGCAGGUACUUACCACCUUCAAGGUGCUGACUGUAAACUCUUGGGUAGGGAUUUCUGUUUUUCUGCCCUGGUGAGUUUCUGCUGCUGUAUAUAUAUAUUCUUUGAGGCUACUGGGAGUUUCUGGGGCUAAAAUGGGAGAAGAGUAUAGGCCCAUCUGUAUUUCAGAUCUGCCUGCACCUGGUCCAGCUGUCCAUAUGGCAAAAGACUUUUUCCUUUGUGAUGGGCACAGCUGAGAGCGUGGCUGCCAGCAGUCCUGAGCUUUGUGAUCUUGAAAACCAGGUUGCCAUAUGUCUUUGAUCAGACCUAAUGUGCUUCUCCAGGAAAAGUGAUGUACACAAGGAAACUAGUACUCCAGUCCCAGAUGGGAAGCUGUGCCUUCAGCUCAGCUCUGAUUCAGGUAGUGUUUUACCCUGCGGAGAUGAAAACACCAAGAGAAGCAGAAUAAUGUGAGGGAGACAUCUGUGUUGCACCAUAUAUUUGGAAAGGGGAGGUGUCAGGUUGCCUUAGGAGGUUUGUCAGAGUCAGUAACACUUGAGAGAUGCAGAUCAGCCCAAUGGCAGCCUGGCAAUGACUCAACCUUUCCCUACAGCCUGUUUUACCUAUGGGUGUGAUAAAAAGCUGCUGCAAAGAUGGGUUUCACUGUUAUGGACUUUCCUUGGACCUUUCAUGCAGCAAACUGAUGAAGGGCAGGAAGCUUAUGGCAACAGAAUAAAAGUCAUAUCCUAGAAGGUGGGAAAAAUCCCUGCCUUGUUUUUCCAUGGAGUCUGUGUCUGACACCCAUGGCUGCCCUCUCCUGUCCACAGUGUUUGCUUCCUCUUGGACCUCUACAGGCAUGUUAUGGCACAUAUGUCAUCCAAAAACCUCACCUGGGGGCACCCAGCAUAGUCCCUGUGGAUUUCAGACCACGUGGAACUUGUGUUGAUAAGAUGGGUCAGUGCCUUCAGCCCUGCUCCUGUACAGCUGGCUGGUGCAUCUUGGACCUGCCAGCCACGUGAGUCCAGCAAAGGGUGGUCUGGCCACAGGAGAAGUCCUGCAGUGCCAUUCAGCAGAUGACCAGGUGGCUCUGCCAUCUGAUUUCAAAGUUGUCUGCCUUGACAUGUGGUGUCCCGUGCCUUGUUUCAGGAAGCAGUCAAGAGGCCUGAGCUCUCUCAGAUAAAUGGCUCAGCUUAGAGCACUGUGGCUUCAUGUUCCUGAAGCUGCUAAUCCUAAUUAACAGCUUUUCUGAGUCCCUUUUAUACCACUCUAGCAGCCCAAGUGGGCUGUAAAGUGAAUAGAAAUGACCCCAUGGAGAGCUCUCUCUGGAGAUGUUGCUAUGCCGACCUGUUUACAGCAGCUAUUAAGGCUCCGGUCGAUCUCUUCCAUCCUGUGUUGUUGUUUUUGUCAUAUGGCCUCAGGUGGUGCCAGAGGUGUAGUUGGAACAGAUAGGGCCUGGACUCUGUUAUUUACUUUUCUGGAAGAUGUGGGGAGAGGGGAAAAAACAAGGAUAGAGGGGUAAAAUCAUGCCAGGCAGCAACGUGGAGGAUCAACAACAGCAACAAUAAAAAAACCCCAACCACCUGAGACUCCCCUGACAGAAAACUGAGUCAAUGUGCUUUUGCCCAAUCCUUAAAAAAAAAAUCCAGAAAAUAAAAAAUCCAUUUUUUUCCCCCAAACACACUUUGUUGAAGGUCUGCAGGCAAUAGGGUGUUUCCCUCGGGUACCUGGGUUUCUUCACCCAGUCCGGUGGGAACACUGGACAGGAGUGUUUAUGUGCCCUGGAGUGCACAGCUUGAAAACAUUUUUGGCCACACUCAUCCUCCUUAAAUUCAAUCUCCCCAGGGCCUAUAAAUCUGAGGCAUUAAGGGGAAGACAAAUUAUAAUGUACGUAUUUUAGGAAUAUAAAAAGUAACGACUUAAUAUAACUUUCUCUUCUCUCCCUCCCUCACCUCCCCAUCCUUUACCGCCUCAUGUUUUUAACAUUUUGGAAUCUGCCAAAGCUUGGGGGGAUACAUGGUGUGCCAGAGAGAGGCAAGAGGUGCUUCCUUUGUGGGCUGGUGUGAUCUGUGCUUGCCGGGCACCUCUCCCCAAGCCAGGGGUCUCUAUCCCAGGGCACUCAGGCCCAUGUUUUUGGGCAGUGUCCCCUGGAGUGAACCAGUGAAAAGGCAAGAGCUGUCCUGGGCUGAAAGACACUGUGGGUACCAUAACCCACUUCAGCAGGAUGGCAGAAAGUACAGCAUGCAGGGAAAGGCAGGUGGUUUAUGCCAGUCUAGGAGGGGCCAGUGGGGUCAAUUCCCACUGCCAUGCUGAGCAGGCAGCACAUGGCUACUGGAUGUCUCUGUGUGCUGGAUUCCCUCCUGAUAGCAGGGAACCUUUUUUUCAGGAAACUGGAGCUUUGCACAGUAAUUCCAAAAAAUGGCAGAUUUUUCUUUUUGGCUUUUCGUAGCUUUCCUUUUUUUGAGAUACUAUAGAAACUUCAGAACAUGAUUGGAUUUGUUCAUGCCUUUAUUUAUUGCGCUAUUUAUGAUGGGCACAGAUUUCCCUAAGCCAAGAAGCCCCCUCCCUCCUCCUUCCCCAGCCUUAGUAAUCAGCUCCCUUGUGCUGCAGCCCACGCUAGGCUAUUUUCCUCUGUCAGAUCCUCCAUCAUUGGUUAAAUUACCUAGGUGUGUGUUGGCUUUAUCUUUUUUUUGUGAAAUCUUACAAUCUUUCAAGUCUUCUUUGUCCGAGUCCCUGUCAUCCUCUUAGGUUUCUUGCACACCCUGUUUCUCUCCUGGCUGAUUCUGUUAAAGGUCUAAUUUCAACAAGUUGCUGCUCUCAGGGUUGAAGCCUGUACUCCAGUGAUAAUCACCUGUGUCCAUCAAGGCUCCCCAGAGCUUUGAAGUUACAGCAAAUUGUAGAUGUUUGGACUCCUUUGCACUUGGCUGUUAAAUUUUCCCUUCCACCCUCCCUUUCUCAGAUGCUUCCACGUUUCGCUGCCUGUGUUCACUGCAGCCCACAUUGCCAGCACACCUUUCGAGCCACCAUCCUGUUAAUGAGCAUACUUGGCCCGGGCCCUGGUUUGCCACGGGGUGUCCCCUCCCACGCACACCCCAACAGCUGCCUUCCGCAGCGCGGGGACAGGCUUCGCUCAGAGCCUGCGCUCGGAGCCCGUCCUGCGAGCCAGUUUUAAUCUAGGAUGCUCUUUCCUUUUGGCUCCCGACAGGGAUCACAGGACCCUGUUUAAUCCAGCUCCCCGUUGGUGUAGGGCUGAGUCAUAGGAGGUUUUUCUGUUGCUACAUCUAAUAACGCUUUGCUAUCGGGAGCAGAACAUCCACCCGCCCGGCUGGGAGUCGGCACUGUCACCCGGCAGCUCCCCUUGUCUGGAAGUUGUUUUGAUUCUUUUCUUAGACUUCUCCCUCUCUGUGUCUGUCUCUCUAAAACAUUAAUUUCCUCUAAUUAGAGCCUCCUUAACAAUUCUUUUUCCCCCCCCCUCUCCUCAGUUAAUUUCCUCUAAUUAGAACCUCCUUAAUAAUUCUUUUGCUAAAUCAAUUUCCUCAGUUAGAACCGCCCGCCAUAAUUUCUUUCCAUCCUUUCAAAAGCUGUCGGAGCAGCUAAGCAAAUUAUGCUUCUGAGUAACCUUUAUCUCUUACUUGGUAUUUUAAAAGAAGAACUGUAACAGGUUAGACAGGCACAAUUUCCCCUUUCAGAGCUCUGCUGGUCUGACCCCAUUAGGUUAUACUUAGCUGACUGUUGUACUAUUGUAUACUUAAUAAGAUGCUCUAGCUGCUCCUCUGGAACCAAGGUAAGGCUGUAUUUAUGAAUGAAUUAAACAUGACACUUCAUUAUUCAGAUCAGAUUUAACAGUGUCAAAAUCCGUCUUUAAACCAGAUCAAAUUGCUCUCCAAGAAUAUGUAAAACCUCCUGCCUCUGUUAGCUGUCCUGUGAGCCAGCCUUUCCUAACUUUUUCUCUGCAGCCAUGCUGGCUUUCUUCUCAUGACAAGUCUUUUAAGUACUAGUUUUUUUCUAAAACAUG
Pseudopipra pipra is the source of this 14309-nucleotide long non-coding RNA. RefSeq lists it as uncharacterized. The record is from RefSeq and is a predicted model, not a curated record. The transcript has 3 exons. NCBI's taxonomy places the organism in Eukaryota, Metazoa, Chordata, Aves, Passeriformes, Pipridae.